Neolamprologus brichardi is the source of this 353-nucleotide non-coding RNA. The record is from RefSeq and is a predicted model, not a curated record. NCBI's taxonomy places the organism in Eukaryota, Metazoa, Chordata, Actinopteri, Cichliformes, Cichlidae.
UAUCUUUCCGUGCUGUCCAAAGAUGUGAAAUUUGUAAGGGGAGGGUAGUCGUGGACCCAAACGUGUUUAACUUGAAGGACUGUUACGUGAGAAUUCGACAGGGUGAUGGCAUCACUGGACGCUCUGAUGUGUCAGAUAUAGUGGAUAUCAUGAUCAUCUCAGGAACUGUACUAUAUCUAUCCACAUUUAACUCCCAGCCGCUCUGGAUGCGAUUGAUGUUCAUUCCCUGCGUGUUUGCCUGCCUAAUGACAAGAAGAAAGAUGAGGAGGAACCUUCAAAUGUUAAUGGGCAUUUGAUCCCUAGCUCAAAUCCAUAUUUGAGUGUUAUAAUAAAAUGCAGUGCAUCAAAUUUAA